Molecule: ribosomal RNA, 306 nt
Filed under: Triticum aestivum (bread wheat)
Lineage: Eukaryota; Viridiplantae; Streptophyta; Magnoliopsida; Poales; Poaceae
Description: partial small subunit ribosomal RNA
Source: RNAcentral
AUGAGAGCAAGCCACCAAAAAAAAUGGCCAGAAGGAAGCACCAUAUGUGCAGGACUUCAGACGCUGCAUGCUCUGCUCGCUGAAGGUGCCCGCUAUUUGUGUUUGGAUGUUGUUGCUGCCGUAUGUCAAGUUCGUCACCAGGCUCACAACUGCGGAAUCAUAGGCGCGAAACGCUUCAAGGUGUUCGCCAAAGCCCGUGUCAUUGAGCAGAAAGUUGCCUCGCUCAACCAAAUUGCACCUGUCAUUGAUGCACGGCGAGGGCACUCGGAAUCUGGUGUUUCUCCGUUGCGAAGCAUGCGAUGUUGA